AUGACUCACUAGAAAAGUCAAUAAUGCCUGAUAAGAUCAAAGAGCUAUUCAAGAUGCAACCAGUGGACAGUGGAUCAACCAACUACCAGUGGCUGAUACUCUAACCAAGAAAUGAGGAACAGUUGUUCAACCCUCCACACUGAAUAAUAUCCAGAGGAAAGAAAGUGGGAAAGCUUACAUCUAAAACAUCAAGAUAGUCAAAGAUUCUUUGCUCCUACUCUAAUGAUUAUCCAACAAUUAAUUUUGUGAGCAGAAAGGAAAGAUGAUGAUGAAUAAUAUCAGCCCAGACAUCUGGCUGCUGUGGCAUAAGAAUUUACAAGUAAGGUAUGACUCAUCCAUCGGCUGCAGAUUCCACAAAUCCUCUGCCUUUGAAGGCUUCCCUGACUUUGAUUGUGGAACCUGGUGCAAACUCUGAUACAGUGAGUACACAGACAGAGGGUCAGAAUGACAUGCCAGAUGGAGAGACUCCCCAGCAGCCACCGCAUUCUGUUGUGGACACAGACACAGAUGGAGACAUAGACCUGGCAAUACCUAUUCCAGCACAGCAUUGUCGAGAGAAGGAAAUGUGGAGACGUUCUGAGCAUUUAUGCCUAAAAUGCUCAGCAAUUUAACAGGACCUGCUGGAAGCUGCCAGAACAUAAAUAGCCCAGUAUGGAGAUGAUGCUGACAACUGACCUUCUUGGUAGAAGCAACAUCCAUGCCUCAUGUUCCUGUUCAUGCUGCCUGAUAGCCUUAGAUCUUGCUUUGUUUAUUGAAUAUGCUCUUGAUUCUCUCUUUGGAUAGUUGCAUGGAUUUAUUGCUGAACUAUGUAUGACUUGGACUGAAAUGACUUUGCUGCUUCAGCCUUCUUGCUGUUGAACCAAACUUCUCCCUGUGUUUCUCUCAGGCUCUGUAUCUCCCUGCAUACCCUUCUUGGGAGCCUGGUCUUGGGCUGAGACUAAAGCAGGACAGUAAGGCUUGCAAUGUUUCCCUUGUACAUGCAUACUCGUGUAUUUCAAUGUCUGUGUCUCUUUCUUCAAGUUGCAUGUCAGCUUAGGGCAACCUCAUGAAUUUCAUAGGGGUUUCUUAGGCAAGGAAUACUCAGAGGUGGUUUUGCCAGUUCCUUCUUUUGAAAUAUAGCCUAUGACACUUGGUACUUCUUGACAGUCUCCCAUCCAAGUACUAACCAGGGUUGACCCUGCUCAGUUUCCAAGAUCGAAUGGGAUCUAGUGCCUUUAGGGUACUAAAUCAUAUACACACACAAGCAUGCCUUCAACCAUACACACAUCCAGCACAAUCUCACGUGGAAAGAAGAAAUUUUAGGGUUACCCAGAUUGUUGUAGCACUGGCUAUCCUAUCUGAAGUACAACUUGAAUUUGCACACUUUGUCAGAAAUGAAUGCACAUACAUUUAAUUUGCAUAAUAGUGUGUGAAAUUUAUUGAAUGCUGUCUUCACUGUAUGUUUCAAGCUAUUUUCACAUAUAGCUGACACAAGAUGACACUCAUGUUAUUUGAAAUAAAUAGGUGUAGAAUUUAUGUAU
Molecule: long non-coding RNA, 1520 nt
Organism: Sceloporus undulatus (fence lizard)
Lineage: Eukaryota; Metazoa; Chordata; Lepidosauria; Squamata; Phrynosomatidae
Exons: 4
Source: RefSeq, a predicted model, not a curated record